UCUACCGGCGGGGGACGGGUGGGGGGCUGCCCUCGGGCUGUCCCUCCCCUCCCGCGCCGGGGGCGGCGGGCCCUAUGAACCUUUACAUCUCAACCACAAGAAAACCGUCUGAGUUUAAAAACAAAUAAUCAAAACUUUCAACAACGGAUCUCUUGGCUCUGGCAUCGAUGAAGAACGCAGCGAAAUGCGAUACGUAAUGUGAAUUGCAGAAUUCAGCGAACCAUCGAAUCUUUGAACGCACAUUGCGCCCGCCAGUAUUCUGGCGGGCAUGCCUGUCCGAGCGUCAUUUCCCCCCUCACGCGCCCCGUUGCGCGCUGGUGUUGGGGCUCCUCCGCCUGGCGGAGGGCCCCUAAAGCGAGUGGCGGGCCCGUCUGGCGGCUCCGAGCGCAGUACCGAACGCAAGUUCUCCUCUCGCCCGGACAGCAUCAGUCGGCGCCUUGCCAG
This 444-nucleotide ribosomal RNA is filed under the name Ophiostoma sp. olrim972. RNAcentral's name for it is "eukaryotic LSU rRNA". The stretch from base 133 to 286 matches the Rfam family "5.8S ribosomal RNA". The record is from RNAcentral. Lineage: Eukaryota; Fungi; Ascomycota; Sordariomycetes; Ophiostomatales; Ophiostomataceae.